AACGAACGCUGGCGGCAUGCCUAACACAUGCAAGUCGAACGAGACCUUCGGGUCUAGUGGCGCACGGGUGCGUAACGCGUGGGAACCUGCCCUUAGGUUCGGAAUAACUCCCCGAAAGGGGUGCUAAUACCGGAUAAUGUCUUCGGACCAAAGAUUUAUCGCCUUUGGAUGGGCCCGCGUUGGAUUAGCUAGUUGGUAGGGUAAAAGCCUACCAAGGCGACGAUCCAUAGCUGGUCUGAGAGGAUGAUCAGCCACACUGGGACUGAGACACGGCCCAGACCCCUGCGGAGGCCAGCAGGGGGGAUUUUGGAACAAGGGGCAAAAGCCUAACCCAGCAUUGCCGCGUGAUUGAGAAGGGCUUGGGGUUUGAAAACCUUUUUUCCCCGGGAUGAAAAUCACAGCCCGGGGAGAAAAAGCCCCGGUUACCCCCGU
RNAcentral lists this ribosomal RNA (432 nucleotides) under uncultured bacterium. Its description in RNAcentral is "partial 16S ribosomal RNA". It matches the Rfam family "Bacterial small subunit ribosomal RNA", at positions 29 to 506 of the family's 1533-position model. The record is from RNAcentral.